CAUGACAGUCGCUAAGACCAGCGCUCAAACUAUCGUCAUAGUAAAAUGGAUAAUAACCGGGUUCACUGCUUUCGGAAAUCCAGGUGCUGCUAUUGUUACUGCUGAGAGAAAAGGUUACAGUGAUUUGGCCUAGAGUAUCCAAGAACCAGCUGGAAAAGACCGAACUAUUAGCUUUCUUGAUUGAGUAGCUGAAGUACUUCAUGUACUUAUUUGAAUCGAACUUGAAUUCAUAAUCAAUGUAGUGUCUGGAUACUUCUAAGUUCAAAUGAGAGCUUCCAUUGUUCGUCAAGAUUCCACUGGACCAGUAGAUUUCCCCGCGGCGCCAGACGAGUAACUGGUUAGCUCCUGAUGGGUCUAGUCCUAGUCUGAAUGCUCCUGGGACUGGGACUUGGUCAGUUAUCCAAGACGUAACUGAUACUUCUUUCUUGGUUCUUAGGUUAAACCCAAUCUUCAUCCCGGGAAGUAAUGUGUUUGUGGGAUGGUCAAAGCUUUGCCAUAGAACACGACCCGGAACUCCUCCUGGCCUGAUCUCUCGGACCACAAAGUUCCCGGUAUCGAGUAAAAUGGCAGACACAUUCCCGACCAAUGAAAGCUGCGCGGCUGGUCUUUGGUUCACCAAGAUUGGAAUAGCGUUUGCCUGUGUUAUCUUUAGAACCCCAUUGGUGUCAAUGGAUAGAGAACCAGAUGAAUCAGAAACUGAUUCGGUUGGGUUACCCACCCAAACUAGAUUUAUUGGAAUACUUUGAGGCCAAAUACCAAGAUAUCUAAGACCAGCUGACCCGAGUUCGGAAGUAGAUGAGUCUUUAGGUGUAAAGAAUCCGAGAGUGAAGAUACCAUCCGCAGAGAUCAACUGCUCCCAGUCUCUGAGCUGCUGCCCCGGUUUUAACGUAUCAGUUUUGAGUGGUGAAACGGCGAAAACCGAACUGAGAAAAGUCGGUAUGAGAAUGAGAAUGAAGGGAAGAAGAACGAUUGAAAGAGCCAUUUGUUGUUUGCUUGGUUAAGUGUUUCCUUAACUUUUAGCUCUCUUUUAAGAGAUAUUUAUAGCACCUUUU
Long non-coding RNA from Arabidopsis thaliana (thale cress), 1052 nucleotides. RefSeq annotates it as other RNA. NCBI's taxonomy places the organism in Eukaryota, Viridiplantae, Streptophyta, Magnoliopsida, Brassicales, Brassicaceae. The transcript is spliced from 2 exons. The record is from RefSeq.